RNAcentral lists this ribosomal RNA (548 nucleotides) under uncultured fungus. RNAcentral's name for it is "eukaryotic LSU rRNA". The stretch from base 206 to 336 matches the Rfam family "5.8S ribosomal RNA". The record is from RNAcentral. Lineage: Eukaryota; Fungi.
CUUGGUCAUUUAGAGGAAGUAACUGCUCGUAACCGGUUUCCAUAGCUCCAACCUGCUGAAAGAUCAUUCAUUAAGAUAUUUUAUCUCUAAUAAUUGUGUUUGACACAAUUACAGGGGCAUGAACUGAUGAAAGAUAGGUUCAUGUUGCGAGGUUGCUCGCUACACCCAAAAAACAUUUUGUUCAAUUCAUUGUUGUGGUUUAUACAACUUUUAAAGCUGGAUCUCUCGGUUCCUGUGUCCAUGAAGAACGCUUUCCACUACGAUAACCGGUGUGAAUUGCUGAUUCAUGAAUCCUUGAACUUUUGAACGCAUCUUGCACUUGUUAUUGUACUCUCUUCCACUCCUAAUUCCACGGACUUACUUGAAUUCUCUCCCUUGAUGAGGAUAUUGAGUGCCCCUCACUCAAUGGUUGCUUUAAAUUAAAUCGCAAUUGCUUAGGAAUUGAUGGUGGAACUUACCUUUGCAAGCUAUAUCAAGACAUUUUUUACUUCAAAACCGGCAUUUAGGAGGGAAUACCCCCUGAACUCCGCAUAUCAAUAAGCGGAGGA